Molecule: long non-coding RNA, 1138 nt
Filed under: Taeniopygia guttata (zebra finch)
Lineage: Eukaryota; Metazoa; Chordata; Aves; Passeriformes; Estrildidae
Description: lncRNA (ENSTGUG00000024561.1)
Source: RNAcentral
CCUACUAUUUUACCCCCAAAGUUCAAAAGUUCAGGCUUGUGCUGACACUUGUCUGUUUUAGAAGCCAAGCUGUCUGGGUGCUGCAACAAACCUGCUGCCCAAAGUUAGUAGAGACAUUAAGACCCAUUCCAAAGACUUUAAAAUCUGUACCUUCACCCAUCAAAUUGUUUGUAAAGACAUUUGCUUUCCUCUCAAGGGGCUUACUGGCUUCUCUAGCACUUUGCUGCUUUACCUGGUUCAGAUUUACCUGGUCUGUGCUGCUGGAUAAAAUCAGGACCUAAAUUUUUUCAGGUUAAAAAAAUCCUUUGAUGGAAAAAGAAGAGACCCAAACCUCUGGUUUAACUUCUAGAAAUAGAAUCACAAAAUUAAAUAGUUUGGAAAAGACCUCUGAGAUCAUUGAGUUCAACCUGUGCCUGACCCCCACCUUGUCAUCCAGUCCAGAGCACUCAGUGCCAUGUCCAGGCAUUCUUUGGACACCUCCAGGAAUGGGGACUCCACCAUCUGGAGUCCCUGGGCAGUCCCUUCCAAUGCCUGACACCCUUUCCAUGGAGAAUUUCCUCUGGAUGUCCAACCCAAACCUUUCCUGGUACAACUUCAUGCCAUUUCCUCCUGUCCCGGCCCUGUUCCCUGGGAGCAGAGCCCAACCCCACCCCAGGUGUCCCCUCCUGUCAGGAGUUGUGCAGAGCCAGGAGGUCCUCCCAAGCCUCCUUUUCUCCAGGCUGAGCCCUUUCCCAGCUCCCUCAGCCCCUCCUGGUGCUCCAGUCCUUUCCUCAGCUCCAUUCCCAGCUCCAUUCCUGGCUCUGGACCCUCUCCAGCCCCUUGAUGUCCUUCCUGAACCCACCUCCAUGGACUCCUCAUGGGAGGGUGUUUCCAGUCCUGUCAGAAUUUGCUCCUUUGAUGAAAAUUAAAAUGAAAAUUAUAAGCCCAAAGGUUCAUAUCACUUCUUCUUGUGGGAUUACAGAAGACACGUGGAGGAAGCAGCCCGGACUGGGGACAAGAUACUGGAAAUGCCUUUGGAAGAAGUAAAGGAAUGGCCUAGGCAGCUGAGAGACCACAUCUCAGGGAUCAGAUUUUUUGGGUCACUGAUAUCUGGGACUAGGGGACCCACUGGACUGCUAUGAAGAGCUCUUUGCUCUUA